CCCGGAUCAAAUGCAGCCAGGAAGCGGCGAGCAACGCUGGCCAUUUAGAUUAUAACACGUUUCUGUUCGCUGUCACAUAUUUUCUGUCGCUUAAGGGAUGUUUUAAGACAUUAAAAAUACAUGGAACAUUUUGCAGAAGGGCGAUAAUGCGCGUAAAUGAUACUGCAGAAGAUCCUCGUGACACUUUUAUUAUUAUGGAUGUAGUCAUGCGGAGGAGGCGCGGGAACAAGGCCACAGCAAAAGCUUCUGAUGUGCCCACGCGCUAAAGGAGACAAAACGAGAGGCCUUUGUACAAUGUUUUCGGGAUUUAUUGUCACUAUGAAAUAAACUAUUACGUUAUAGAUUAUUAUAGGUAAUAUUGAUUCUGUGAUCAUGUGAAUGACAUUUUUGUGAUGAAAUAGCAUGCCCUCUAAAGUCCUACCAGUGUUUUUCCUCCUCACAAAUAAUCUAUGUGAUAAUAAGAUGUUUAUUAUUAUUAUUAUUAUGCCUAUUAUUAUUGCUUCCUUAUUGUAGUUUAUGCCAUGUGUUAUAUGUUUAAAUACCCUCGAAAUCCAGGUUGAAAGAUACAAUGUAUAUUUAAAUUCAUUUAUUUCUUUAUUCGAACUGGAGCAGCAUGGAAUGUAUGACACUGAAACAGAAACUUGGUGAUAUCUGGAAUAUUUGUUCAAUAAAGAAACGUCUAAUAUCUGUC
Molecule: long non-coding RNA, 691 nt
Organism: Salmo salar (Atlantic salmon)
Lineage: Eukaryota; Metazoa; Chordata; Actinopteri; Salmoniformes; Salmonidae
Source: RefSeq, a predicted model, not a curated record